GAGGGAAUUUAUUGAACUAUGAGUCAGAAACAUUUAAUGAGAAUAGAUCAAGUUGGUGGUGCUGUUCUUGAAUGUGAUUUUGCUCUUUUCUCUAGCAAAUCUAAGAUGAUGUAUUGGUUCAGGACAAACAUUUUCUAAGAUGAAAUGUUAACCAUAGCAGCAGCAUCAACUCUGAGUUAGUAUACUGAACUCAUAAUGUUUACCGGAAUUUACCAACUUAGGUUUCCCUUUUUUUGAUAGCUUUGCAUACAGCCAUGCAACUUUUUGGCCUACAUAUUGAAUAGCUACUCUCUAUACUUAUUACCUAUACCGUGUGUCAUUUUCCCUUUACUACUAUCUCAAUAAAUCUCGGAAUCUUUGAUAACCACUAUGUCAUCACUUAGCUACACGUGGUAUCUGCAGAAGGGCUUGAAACAAUGACUGAAUUGUAAAAAAUAAAGGUCCCUGUUCCCACAGUAUCUGUGUAACUUAAAAUAAAGUGUGACCCUCUGUCACUUUGCCAACUGUGCCAAUCUCCUUUCCCAUGCUUACUUCUUAUUAAGGGGAUCUUCUGACUUCGGAGUCUGGUGCGCGGCGUAACCUGGCCCCUGCCAAGGCUGGUGGAAUGAAAUCUGUAGGGGGAGUUGACUCAUGCCAUCCUGCCUUUCUGGUCAGAUCCAGCCCUUAUAAAGGAGGAGCCAUGGAGGAAUCACGCUACAGCCUCUCUCCAGCGUCCCCCUCUAUCCCUGUCCCCUGUGCCCCAUCCCCCAGUCUCCUGAGCAGGCUUAGCUCUCGCUCUGGCAUCCCAGAUUACCCAGCCAAUUAGGGUGAAGGCAAAGCCCCUUCUGCCACAGCGGCUGGUGCUGCUGCAGCAUGCUUAGUAGCUAUGGCCCUUUGCUAUGGGAGGUUAGGAUUGCAUCCAGCAUUGACUGGAAGGCUUGCAAGUCACCCUGGGGGAAGAGUGCUGGAAGGGGUCUUACGUCAAAGAGGAUGUACCGUCUAUGUCAAUGUGACAGAUGAUGCAGGGUUUACAUACUGAAGCAUGAGAUUUACUUGGUAGUUGCAAAUGUCGUGAACGAUAGUGAUGCAUUGAAUACAUACAAUGGUAUUUUGUGAUCCUUGUAUAUUUUCCCAAGCAUUGAGUUGAAUCUGAACUGUAUACAAUAAUGGAUUGAUUGUACCGUCUGUAUGAGGAAAUCCAAUUUCAUUAUAUCUCAGACAACAGCUCCACCUGGUGACACAUAAUAGUUCAGGACACAUUUUUAGACAGUCUACUAGGGGACACUGAAAACGCAGGAUAUCAAAAUGAUGUUGUUUCAAAUGAUUGACUGACAUCUCUGGGCUGUCAGUCAGUCAGUCAGUCAGUCAGUCAGUCAGACAGACAGACAGACAGACAGACAUGGUGUGUGGGUAAAAUCACUGGGGAAGCCAAUUCAGGAAAAAAGCCAUAUUACAACCUGUGUUGUGAUAUUUGCGUUUUUUGCUCUAUAAAUCAUUUUAGUUCAAACCCCCACCGUGAUAUACAUUGUGAACAAAACAUUAGGAACACCUUCUUCCAUUCUAUUUCCAUGACAUAGACUGACCAGGUGAGUCCAGGUGAAAGCUAUGAUCCCUUAUUGAUGUCACCUGUUAAAUCCACUUCAAUCAGUGUAGAUGAAGCGGAGGAGACAGGUUAAAGAAGGAUUUUUAAGCCUUGAGAUCAUAGAGACAUGGAUUGUGUAUGUGUGCCAUUCAAUUGUAGUCAAUAUGGGCCAGCAUCCCUGUGGAAUGCUUUCGACAGCUUGUAGAGUCCAUGCAUUGAGACUGUGAAUGAGGGGUGAAUAUUAUGUACACUCAGUGUAAAAGGCAGAGACAACAAGAAGACGAUAGUCACACAGUGGGCAGAAUCAGUGGUGGAAAAAAGUACCCAAAUGUCAUACUCGAGUAAAAGCAGAUAACUUAAUAGAAAAUUACUCAAGUAAAAGUGAGUCACCCAGUCAAAUCUAUUUGAGUAAAAAUCUAAAAGUAUUUGGUUUUAAAUAUACUUUAGUAUCAAAAGUAAAUGUAAUUGCAGAAAUAUACUUAAGAUUUAAAAGGAAAAGUAUAAAUAAUGUCUAAUUCCUUAUAUUAGGCAAACCAGACGGCACAAUUGUCUUGCUUGUUUUAUGCCUAGCUCGGGGCACACUCCAACACGCCAAUACUCAGACAUAAUGUACAAACUAAGCAAACUAAAUCUGCCAGAUCAGAGACAGUAGGGGUGAGCAGGGUUGCUCUCUUGAUAAGUGUGUGAAUUGGACCAUUUUCCUGUCCUGGAAAAUACAUGGAGUAAAAAGUACAUUAUUUUCUUUAGGAAUGUAGUAAAGUAAAAGUUGUCAAAAAUAUAAAUGGUAAAGUGCAGUACAGAUACACCAAUAAACAACUAAGUAGUACAUUAAAGUAGUUUGACUAAAGUACCUUACACCACUGGGCAGAAUCAAUUCAACCACACAUUUGUUUCAUCACAAAACCAGAGAGACGUAUUUGUCUGGUGAAGUCCACAAAGCAUAUUGCAUGUAACAAACAGAUUGAUGAACUACAGCAGGGAUGGGCAACUGGCGGCCUGUGGAUCAAUAAAAAUAAAUCAUUAAGAACUCAAUUGAGGUUAGAAUAGUAGAAUAUACAGGGUGCCAUUUUGAAAAGGUAGUUGUGCCUCAGCAGUUUUUCUCUUGUUAUGUCAGUCACUGACAGUCACUCAAUAAGUCCAUGUCAGCUAACAUUUUUUGUUAGUCUAAUGUCCAGCUUUCUAAACUUGUAGUAAUCAUGGUCGAAUUACCAACUGGGGGGCCCCCAUUGAUUUAAUUAGUCACUUUCACAAAAAAAUAUUAAAUAUUAAUUGCAAACAUUACUCUCCAGAAUUGCAGAAAAUGUGAUGUAAAACUGCAAAAUCUUCUCUACACCCCAUGGGAAAAUGUGAAGAAUUGCCUGAAAUUGGUAAAUCUUCUCUACACCCCAUGGGAAAAUGUGAAGAAUUGCCUGAAAUUGGUAAAUCUUCUCUACACCCCAUGGGAAAAUGUGAAGAAUUGCGUGAAAUUGGUAAAUCUUCUCUACACCCCAUGGGAAAAUGUGAAGAAUUGCCUGAAAUUGGUAAAUCUUCUCUACACCCCAUGGGAAAAUGUGAAGAAUUGCCUGAAAUUGGUAAAUCUUCUCUUUGGUCCGUGGCAAAAUGUGUAUAAUUGCAGCAAACUUGCUUUAAAAAUGUUUUUUAAAAACACCCCAUGGUCAAAUUUGUAAAACUGCAGGAAAUGAAAUUUAAAACUUGAUGUUUUGCUUGCAAAAUGUCUGACUACUAAACAAUUAUUGAUUGAGAACCACAGAGUUAUCACAAGUGGCAAAAAAACCAGGAGAGGCCUCUGCUAAAGUAAAUCCACCAUCAUUUCAACUUCCAAAUCAUCAAAUCACCAAUGCUUAGUCUAACAGAGUAGCAACUUAAAGAUCAGGACCAAAAACAAUUUAGUCCAAUCAACAUAAGCUAAAUAACAUGUGGCUGUCCAUGGUCCUGAUUGUGUGUGCGCAAGUAGAAAAACAAUGAUUUACCUUACUUGUAGAGGAUCGCCAAUGCAAUCCUCCUCUCUGUCAUACAGUAGCCUACACACUUUUAGUUUUUGUUGUCCUCGAUUAGGCUACAUGGCUAAAAGGCUUGCCAGCUAGCCUAACUUAAUUUAAAGGGCAAUGAUGAGCCAGCUAGUUAACGUUAGCCUACUACAUCUAGCUACAUAUUGAACUUCCACCCUCUCAGGCCAGGAGCACAAAGUAUGAAUUUAUGGUUGGAUCUGAAUCACCGUUGUAAUCACUGUCCAGUACAGUAAGUCCACAAGUCCAAAUCCUUAUCUCCCAUCUAAUUUUUCCUUUUCUCCAUCCAAGCUCCAAGGGUCGAUUUUAGCUAGCCACCGGAGGACAACGACACAACGAGAUGCAAAAAUGCACCUUUUUUCGUCAAUGCUUUUGAUGCAAUGUGAUUGGUGUGAAGUCACAUCCAAACUAGCUUCCAUUGGGACUUUUUUUGGUGCACCAGGACCAUUCACAAUUGAGCUCACACAGUUUAGCUCAAUGCUUGAUUGGUUAUUUUUUUUAAAUUUAAACAUUACCAAGGGAGGCAAAAUGCUUGCUAGCUUCCCUUGCUAUGAAAUUCAAUGCUACGGGCAGCAACAAUGGCAUACUCUUUUUGGCCAGACAGCAUCAGAUAGAU
Molecule: long non-coding RNA, 4183 nt
Organism: Oncorhynchus keta (chum salmon)
Lineage: Eukaryota; Metazoa; Chordata; Actinopteri; Salmoniformes; Salmonidae
Exons: 2
Source: RefSeq, a predicted model, not a curated record